GACGAACGCUGGCGGCGUGCUUAACACAUGCAAGUCGAACGGAAAGGCCCUGCUUUUGUGGGGUGCUCGAGUGGCGAACGGGUGAGUAACACGUGAGUAACCUGCCCUUGACUUUGGGAUAACUUCAGGAAACUGGGGCUAAUACCGGAUAGGAGCUCCUGCUGCAUGGUGGGGGUUGGAAAGUUUCGGCGGUUGGGGAUGGACUCGCGGCUUAUCAGCUUGUUGGUGGGGUAGUUGCUUACCAAGGCUUUGACGGGUAGCCGGCCUGAGAGGGUGACCGGCCACAUUGGGACUGAGAUACGGACCAGACUCCUACGGGAGGCAGCAGUGGGGAGUAUUGCACAAUGGGCGGAAGCCUGAUGCAGAAACGCCGCGUGCGGGAUGACGGCCUUCGGGUUGUAAACCGCUUUCGCCUGUGACGAAGCGUGAGUGACGGUAAUGGGUAAAGAAGCACCGGCUAACUACGUG
Molecule: ribosomal RNA, 468 nt
Filed under: uncultured bacterium
Lineage: Bacteria
Description: partial 16S ribosomal RNA
Rfam family: Bacterial small subunit ribosomal RNA
Source: RNAcentral